UGGGGUGUGGCUCAACAGUAGAGUGCUCACCUAGCACAUGUGAGGCCCUGGGUUCGAUCCUCAGCACCACAU
RNAcentral lists this transfer RNA (72 nucleotides) under Ictidomys tridecemlineatus (thirteen-lined ground squirrel). Its description in RNAcentral is "Spermophilus tridecemlineatus (thirteen-lined ground squirrel) tRNA". It matches the Rfam family "tRNA". From Rfam's summary of the family: Transfer RNA (tRNA) molecules are approximately 80 nucleotides in length. Their secondary structure includes four short double-helical elements and three loops (D, anti-codon, and T loops). Lineage: Eukaryota; Metazoa; Chordata; Mammalia; Rodentia; Sciuridae. The record is from Rfam by way of RNAcentral.